RNAcentral lists this long non-coding RNA (385 nucleotides) under Brassica rapa (field mustard). RNAcentral describes it as "long non-coding RNA (BRAP_LNC003955)". The record is from RNAcentral. Lineage: Eukaryota; Viridiplantae; Streptophyta; Magnoliopsida; Brassicales; Brassicaceae.
GAGUGUCCUCACUGCAAAAUCACGGCUCCUGAUCUCAAGACCAUGCAGAUCCAUCACGAGUCAAGAAGCAUCCCAAGAUCCCUUACGAAGAGUCCAAGCUCGUGAAUCUCCAUGCUGUUUUGGCUCCAGUGGCUGAGUCCAAACCUAAACCUGGAAUCAGGGGAAGCUUAAAGAAGUAAAUCUUUAUGCUUCAGUUUCCUGAAAAAUUUAUCAUCUUUUAAUCUUUUAUGUUUGUUUAAGACAAUGAUUUGCUACUCUACCCCUAAUCAAUCUUGUUGAAUGUUGAUGAUGCUUAUCUGCUGUUUUUCAAAUGGAGUAGGGAGAUGUUAUAUGAAUAAACUGAUCUUUGAACGAUUGUUUGAGUCUUUGUUUAUUGCAAAUGUUC